RNAcentral lists this ribosomal RNA (394 nucleotides) under uncultured bacterium. Its description in RNAcentral is "partial 16S ribosomal RNA". It matches the Rfam family "Bacterial small subunit ribosomal RNA", at positions 523 to 918 of the family's 1533-position model. The record is from RNAcentral.
AUACGUAGGGAGCGAGCGUUGUCCGGAAUUACUGGGCGUAAAGGGCGCGUAGGCGGCGCUUCAAGUCGUCUGUCAAAUGGGAGGGCUUAACCCUUUUUCGCAGACGAAACUGGAGGGCUUGAGAAGCAGAGAGGCAAACAGAAUUCCUGGUGUAGCGGUGAAAUGCGUAGAUAUCAGGAAGAAUACCAGUGGCGAAGGCGGUUUGCUGGCUACAUACUGACGCUGAAGCGCGAAAGCCAGGGGAGCAAACGGGAUUAGAUACCCCGGUAGUCCUGGCAGUAAACGAUGUAUACUGGGUGUGAGACUUGCGAUAGUUUCGUGCCGAAGUUAACGCGAUAAGCAUACCGCCUGGGGAGUACGGUCGCAAGAUUGAAACUCAAAGGAAUUGGCGGGG